GACGAACGCUGGCGGCGUGCUUAACACAUGCAAGUCGAACGGAAAGGCCCUGCUUUUGUGGGGUGCUCGAGUGGCGAACGGGUGAGUAACACGUGAGUAACCUGCCCUUGACUUUGGGAUAACUUCAGGCAACUGGGGCUAAUACCGGAUAGGAGCUCCUGCUGCAUGGUGGGGGUUGGAAAGUUUCGGCGGUUGGGGAUGGACUCGCGGGUUAUCAGCUUGUUGGUGGGGUAGUGGCUUACCAAGGCGUUGACGGGUAGCCGGCCUGAGAGGGUGACCGGCGACAUUGGGACUGAGAUACGGCCCAGACUCCUACGGGAGGCAGCGGUGGGGAGUAUUGCACAAUGGGCGGAAGCCUGAUGCAGCAACGCCGCGUGCGGGAUGACGGCCUUCGGGUUGUAAACCGCUUUCGCCUGUGACGAAGCGUGAGUGACGGUAAUGGGUAAAGAAGCACCGGCUAACUACGUG
RNAcentral lists this ribosomal RNA (468 nucleotides) under uncultured bacterium. RNAcentral's name for it is "partial 16S ribosomal RNA". It matches the Rfam family "Bacterial small subunit ribosomal RNA", at positions 28 to 507 of the family's 1533-position model. The record is from RNAcentral.